This is a long non-coding RNA of Salvia miltiorrhiza (redroot sage), 793 nucleotides long. RefSeq lists it as uncharacterized. The record is from RefSeq and is a predicted model, not a curated record. The transcript is spliced from 2 exons. Lineage: Eukaryota; Viridiplantae; Streptophyta; Magnoliopsida; Lamiales; Lamiaceae.
UUUGUGGAACGUAUACCAAAAUGCAAUUUUGUCACUCUUUUAAUAAUUACAAACUAUAUAUAUAAUAAAGAAAGGAAAAUUGAACAAUACACUUAUACACCGAUAAGGAUCUAAAGUGGACAAUAUUUUGAAUUAACAUUCUUUCUCCAACGCUUCAACAAAAAAAAGAAAAAAAACAUUCCUUCUCCAGUAAUUGGUCGACAGGGUGGUUGCAGAUUCUGGCAAAAGACUCAGAAAAAAACUUGAACAACAAUCUUUGGUUCUCCUGAUCUUCUCUCAUCAAAUUUUGAAGAUCUACAAGAAAUAUGUUGAGCGACAUGUCCAAGAAAGAGAGCUGUACUCCAUUGCACUCUACAUGUUCGAAGAAAUGCGCCAGUUGGGCAUCGCAGCUGAAUGGUACAUGAUGAACAUCGGUAUCAACUGUUGCUACCUUCUGAAGCGCCUGGACGUCGGAUACAAAGAAAGGAGGAAGAUAUGCUUUCACAAAAAAAAAAAAUGUCAGGGUGAAGGGCUCAUUGCUACCUCUCGAGCAAUGGUUGUGUUCUUGAAGCUAAUCUUUCUUUUAGUAUUCUAUCUAUUUUCCUCGAGCACAUUUGAAAAGGUUGUAGCUGUAUGUAUAUGCUAUAUCCAGUUUAGGUGAUUGCUGAUAGAAGAUGUGCUUAUUUAGUUUAUGCACAAGUGUUUUGUUAGUGGGAGUCAUUAAUUAUAGUGAUUUUAUCUAUAUCACAGGAGAAAGAUAUGUUAGAUAUGAAUUGUGCUUUUAUAUCAUUUAGCUGAUUACAAGGUUACUCCA